Molecule: long non-coding RNA, 661 nt
Organism: Rhododendron vialii
Lineage: Eukaryota; Viridiplantae; Streptophyta; Magnoliopsida; Ericales; Ericaceae
Exons: 3
Source: RefSeq, a predicted model, not a curated record
UGAAUGCCUUGAAUGGUUGUUGAUCGGUAUUGAAUGCUUGUCUUUUAUAUGAGCCUUGGAGAUGAGGGAGAGCCAGGUGUAGGGCUCCUUCCCAUUGGUGGACAGAGUGGAGGUUGACCUCUUUUCCUCUCUUAGUCCCAAGUCAGGCCUUGGGGCUUGUGACCAAGGAGUCGACAAAGGCUAUUUCGGUGAUGCAUGGAGACCCGUAUCAUCUGCCGAGUCAGGCGGUAGGUAUGAUACUUCUUCCGAGAUGUUAGAUGGCGGUCAAUGCCCCCUCUCUCUCUAGGACCGGUCAAGUUAGAGCUUGCCGGAGGCAAGCUCGUCCUCCUUGACAAACCCCUUGCUCUAGCCUCCAAGCCACAUUCCUCCGUAGGUCCCGAGCGGGGUACCUAGGCCCUGCUCCCGGCCUAGGAUGGUGUAUAGAGUCGCCUUUAAGAGUUCGUGGAGUCUUCGAAGUGUCGAGUAGGAGGUGAGGUGCCCGGAGGUGACCUCACCCCUCCGCGGGUGGAGAAUUCUUGGAGAAAGCCUUGCUCCUCCGGAGACGCAGUUUGUGGAGGAAGCUUUGCUCCUCCCGAAGGUGAACAUUGUGGAGGAAGUAUGUUCCUCCGGGAGGUGAAUCUUGUGGAGGAAGCAUGCUCCUCCGGGAGGCGAACUUUGCGGA